CUAGGAGCCACCAUCUUUCCAGUGGGGAUUUACCAAGGAGUGCCUCAACUCGUCUUCGUGUGUGUGUCUUUAACAGCCGCGUUCGCUAUGGCGGGAUGAUCGACAGUAAACACACACACUUAAAAUGGAACCCUUGAGGAAAGACUCAUUAAAAGCAAUACUAAGAUUUCAGCUGACAUCUCAACAGAAAAGACAGAAGCCAGAGAUAACGUCAAAACACCCUUCAGGAAUAAGGUGAAAUAAAGACAUUCUCAGAUGAUGGAAAAUUAAGAGGACUCAUCACAGCAGAACUGCCCUAAAAGAAAUGAUAAAGUCUGAAAGGAAAUGAUACCAGAGAGGAACCUGGAACUUCAGGACUUAAUGAAGAGCAAAACUAAUAGCAAAUAUGUAGUCACACGAGUGGCUAGCAUUCCACUUCUGCGGGACAGCGUCGGCCGGCAGAAUGACCUUCACGUGGACGCCCUCAUUUCCUGUACAAAACCAAGACCAGUUUCGACAGGAAGUCCCUUGCAUCUGUGCCAUUUCCUCAAAGCCCAUUUUGAAAGGAAUUACAAAUGGAGGUUUGUUCCCAUCUACGAGGGAGAAACGCUCACAAGAAGAAAAGAGCCUCCAACCAAAGCUGGAAGAACAGCCCUCAGUCUGGCCUCCAAGAACUUCUGACACUCGCUGAAGUGACAGCAGGAAGAUGCCUGCUGCACAGCACCCUCUGGGUGUCGCCCAAUCACAACUGAGUUCAUGCGUCCCGAGUACAGAUUCAAAUCAUCCUGUCUUAUCACUAACUGCUCUG
Long non-coding RNA from Rhinolophus ferrumequinum (greater horseshoe bat), 787 nucleotides. RefSeq lists it as uncharacterized. The record is from RefSeq and is a predicted model, not a curated record. The transcript is spliced from 4 exons. Lineage: Eukaryota; Metazoa; Chordata; Mammalia; Chiroptera; Rhinolophidae.